UACGUAGGGUGCGAGCGUUGUCCGGAAUUAUUGGGCGUAAAGGGCGCGUAGGCGGCGGGGUAAGUCGGGUGUGAAAUCUCAGAGCUCAACUCUGAAACUGCACUCGAUACUGCUCUGCUUGAGGACUGGAGAGGAGACUGGAAUUCACGGUGUAGCAGUGAAAUGCGUAGAUAUCGUGAGGAAGACCAGUGGCGAAGGCGGGUCUCUGGACAGUUCCUGACGCUGAGGCGCGAAGGCCAGGGGAGCAAACGG
Molecule: ribosomal RNA, 252 nt
Filed under: uncultured bacterium
Lineage: Bacteria
Description: partial 16S ribosomal RNA
Rfam family: Bacterial small subunit ribosomal RNA
Source: RNAcentral